GGGACACGUGGUAUCCUGUCUGAAUAUGGGGGGACCAUCCUCCAAGGCUAAAUACUCCUGACUGACCGAUAGUGAACCAGUACCGUGAGGGAAAGGCGAAAAGAACCCCGGCGAGGGGAGUGAAAAAGAACCUGAAACCGUGUACGUACAAGCAGUGGGAGCCUCUUUUAUGGGGUGACUGCGUACCUUUUGUAUAAUGGGUCAGCGACUUAUAUUCUGUAGCAAGGUUAACCGAAUAGGGGAGCCGAAGGGAAACCGAGUCUUAACUGGGCGUUAAGUUGCAGGGUAUAGACCCGAAACCCGGUGAUCUAGCCAUGGGCAGGUUGAAGGUUGGGUAACACUAACUGGAGGACCGAACCGACUAAUGUUGAAAAAUUAGCGGAUGACUUGUGGCUGGGGGUGAAAGGCCAAUCAAACCGGGAGAUAGCUGGUUCUCCCCGAAAGCUAUUUAGGUAGCGCCUCGUGAAUUCAUCUCCGGGGGUAGAGCACUGUUUCGGCAAGGGGGUCAUCCCGACUUACCAACCCGAUGCAAACUGCGAAUACCGGAGAAUGUUAUCACGGGAGACACACGGCGGGUGCUAACGUCCGUCGUGAAGAGGGAAACAACCCAGACCGCCAGCUAAGGUCCCAAAGUCAUGGUUAAGUGGGAAACGAUGUGGGAAGGCCCAGACAGCCAGGAUGUUGGCUUAGAAGCAGCCAUCAUUUAAAGAAAGCGUAAUAGCUCACUGGUCGAGUCGGCCUGCGC
Molecule: ribosomal RNA, 745 nt
Filed under: Escherichia coli
Lineage: Bacteria; Pseudomonadati; Pseudomonadota; Gammaproteobacteria; Enterobacterales; Enterobacteriaceae
Description: partial 23S ribosomal RNA
Rfam family: Bacterial large subunit ribosomal RNA
Source: RNAcentral